Molecule: long non-coding RNA, 152 nt
Organism: Neogale vison (American mink)
Lineage: Eukaryota; Metazoa; Chordata; Mammalia; Carnivora; Mustelidae
Exons: 3
Source: RefSeq, a predicted model, not a curated record
AGGAACUCCAUUUCUGUUGGCCCUUUAGGCAGCCUCAGGAAGUUCCCCUGGCACAUACUGCUACAUGGACAGAAGGAAGGAUGGAUACCUGGGCCACUGGGAUCCUGUGGAUUAGCACUUACGAGAUCCCAGAUGCUGGCGAGGAUGCGGAG